CAUCGAUGAAGAACGUAGCGAAAUGCGAUACUUGGUGUGAAUUGCAGAAUCCCGUGAACCAUCGAGUCUUUGAACGCAAGUUGCGCCCGAAGCCUUCGGGCCAAGGGCACGUCUGCCUGGGCGUCACACAUUGCGUCGCCCCAACCUCAAACACGAGGAUAUGG
RNAcentral lists this ribosomal RNA (164 nucleotides) under Koenigia delicatula. RNAcentral's name for it is "5.8S ribosomal RNA". The stretch from base 1 to 126 matches the Rfam family "5.8S ribosomal RNA", at positions 31 to 154 of the family's 154-position model. From Rfam's summary of the family: 5.8S ribosomal RNA (5.8S rRNA) is a component of the large subunit of the eukaryotic ribosome. It is transcribed by RNA polymerase I as part of the 45S precursor that also contains 18S and 28S rRNA. Functionally, it is thought that 5.8S rRNA may be involved in ribosome translocation. Lineage: Eukaryota; Viridiplantae; Streptophyta; Magnoliopsida; Caryophyllales; Polygonaceae. The record is from RNAcentral.